This is a long non-coding RNA of Gopherus flavomarginatus (Mexican gopher tortoise), 1368 nucleotides long. RefSeq lists it as uncharacterized. The record is from RefSeq and is a predicted model, not a curated record. The transcript has 5 exons. Lineage: Eukaryota; Metazoa; Chordata; Testudines; Testudinidae.
GCUGGUGGGUGUUGAUCACUGGGUUAAUUAUUAUUGCUAAUGAUUAAUUCUCUUUGCACUUUUAAGAAACCUAAAACUACAGAAAACCUGCAAGUCUUGCCAUCAUAAAUAAGAUCUAGGCCACUGAUGCCACAGAAUCCUGUAACAUGGUUGAUAAGGGCAAGUGCUAAAGACUGAAGCCACAGAACUGCAAAGUGUCGCAUACAGUUGUUGCAAAUGCAGCACAGUUUGCAUUUUUGACAUGAAAAGACACGUCAGCCAGGUAGGAAAGAAAACAACCAAACCCACACCUCUGCCUCCCAUGAGCUUCUUCAACACGUGGAGCUGCACGCUUGCCAAUCAGCCACAGAUCCUUAUCAGCUCUCUGAUGUCCUCUUUGUCGUCUUCCCUCUACAGUCUCCUUUCAAAUCAUUGUACAACCUCUAGAGCGGCAGUAUAAAAACACCACCAUGCUGAACUACUCCACCAGCUGCAAAGCAACGAUGAACCAGACCCUAGGUCUUGCCUUACCAUCCCAGCCCUAAUGGCUAUAAAACGUCCCCUCCAGCUGUGCUCUAUGAUACACAGUACAGCAAACCCAGGGAGCAUCCUUACCUGGAUAGAGUUCGGCUGCGGCAGCUGCUGCAACAGAGAGGAAGCGUGUUUUCUGUUUGACGGCUAAGCUCCAAGUUACAACCGCUCUGACGAUGCCUGGCUGUGUGGUUACUCAUGGUCUUCUCUUCACAAAUCAGCUAGCACACCCAACCACCAUCAAUCUUUGGUCACUGCUUCCUCAUGUUGGAGUCUAGCACAAAAUUACCUCUGCGCUUGGCACCUUUGGAUCAUGGGCGAGUACCAUUGCUUCCUCGCUGCCUAAGACUGAUCUCUCAGGAACGGGCUUCAAGCGUGUUGGUGGGGCAAGAUGGAGGAAGCUAGUGCUGCGACUUUCCCUGGUGCACCAGUUCUGCUGGUUAGUAGAGAUCGGACUGCCUCCUUCGGGGUGCCUAUCCAGCACCUCUCACUGAAGCCCCCUGUACCGGUGGCCAGAACCCGGGCAGUGUGAUUGCCACUGAAAAAAUCAGCUCGUGUGCCGCCUUCGGCACUCGUGCCAUUGGUUGCCUACCCCUGUUCUAGUGGAAGACAGCUCAAGCUUUAAUUCAAGAACGCCACUGCUCAAGCCAAGUUUUAUUUAACCAAAAGCAAUUUGGUUUUGCUCCAGCUCUACUGCUUGGGAAUUGUGCUCAAGACGCGGCCUUCUUUUCAGCCAGAGAGAAUCUUGCUGCUGGGGACUUUUGCUUUGUGACCUGAAAUAGCAACAGCAAGAAGCACCUUUUUUCAGAACUUCGUUCUUUUAAGAAAUGAAACAUGACAAAGCUGGGCAGGGUGGUG